GCUUCCCGGUGCGCGCUCGGGCUGGGUAAACAACCCCGGCUUCCCACGAGGGCUGGAGGGAUCCCGGCGUGGAGAGGGGAGCAGGUCGAGCGUGGCGAUCUCGGAUGCAAGUCAGUGUGCUGCCGAGCAAAGACGGGACGCGGACCGAGAAGGGGAAGGGAGAGGGGCGACUGGAGAAGGCGGGAGAGAGGGAGGGAAGUGAGAGGCGAGGGACGGGACGAGGGUGUCAGGCAGAAAACCGGAGAAAAGAGACAGGAAUGUGGAAAAGUAAGCCGCGAUAAAAGGAGCAAAGACGCGCUGGGGAAAAUGCAUGGAGGAGUAGAAGAAAAGAAACGGGGGCAAGGCCCGGAAAGACACCCAGCGAUUCAGAAAAUAAAAAGGCGGCGAGGAAAGGCGCGGCGCGGAGGACCCUGCAGGCUGGCGAGCGGGCGUGUGACGGGCGCGUUCCCAGGCGGGAGAAAAGCAGGCGGCGUGUUUGGUGGGAGACUCAGCGCCCGUGGAAAAGCGUGCGAGCGGCCCUGGGCAGGAAUCCAACAAAUAAAUAAAACGUCUAAGACGGCGUGACAACAAUGCGUAUUUGGGUGCGUGCCCGUGUUCCUCGUCUGCGCACACACUCACGCCCCGUGAGGAAGACAAACGGGGCUCGUGCCUCCGAGUAAUUAAUCCUCCCACUAAUUGACUCUCUCUCCCCUUACCUAAUGGCGGUGGUCAUUGCCGAUAUCUGGAGAGAUAUCGCGUGGAAAGAAAGACAGAGGGGGAGAGAUCCCCAAAGCUAAGUAGCUUUGGGACUUGGGAUUGAGUUCUUUCUGGACUUGGCCGCUCUAAAACUCCCUUCCUUCUUUUGGGGGGCAGAGUUCCAUAGAUGUUGCUGCCUCACCAGCCCUGCCACAUUUGCAUUAAUGAAGAUUUGAGAUUAGGGGUGACUGGGAGGCCCCCCUACACACACACACACACACACACACACACACACACACAGGUCCUUCAUCAAUCUCAGAGGCUGGAAGCCACCCACUGCCCCUCUGCUGGGCACUCCCCACCUCUAUAGGCCACAGUAAAUCUCCCCUCCACUGUUGUUCCCCCAGGAGCUCUGACCCUGCUCCUCUUCUCUGGGUCGCUACUUAGUUUCCCCAGGACCCGGCAUGUGUCCCGCAGCCCUGAGUGGAGCAGGUGAAGUUUUGAACUGGUUGGGGAGCAGCCUUGGGUGGCUUGGGAGAGCAGUGGGAGGGGUGAGGUUAGGGCAAGGAUGGGAAGAGGCUUCUGGGAAAAAACCCGCCCUGGCAGGAAUGGGAGACUCGGCAGCAGAAUGGAGAGCGGUGCACACCUGGCAAGUGUGAGGCCUCUGGGGAGAAGGAAGAAAAGAGGCAGGCACCUGCACUGUGGCGGAGACAGGACAACGACCGUGUUUCUGUGACUGUGAGACUCAGGGAGACAGUUCCAGCUACCACACAGCACUCUCAGUUUUCAGGGCUGGGGAAAGAGGCAGGAGAAGGUUGGCCUUGGCUGGAAGGGCCACCCCACUAAAUACAUUCUUAACCGUCUCUUGGGAAUGUUUGUACAUUUGACCAAAGCGAAUCCUCAAGGAGGAACAGCAACACUGGUCUUAGGGGCUGGCAGCCCAGAGAGAGUUGGGGGUCUGGAGAAGGGCGAGGCAGGGAGAGAAAGCAGGCAUGUCUGAGGAGGUAGGGAACUUGGCUCUUCUCUCCUUGUCUCUGUCACGCUUUAGAAAGAAAGUGAGCAAGAGGCAUAAAGUUCCAGGGGAAAGAAAGAGAAGGGCAUAUAAAAGGCAAAUCCAAGCCAGAAAGGAAAGAAAGUGAAGAAGAAAGAAAAAGGCCGGGAGGGUGGGAUUGACGAUAAUAAAAAAGGGUGAAGGCGGCCCCAGGAGGCUGGGCCUCGUCCCAAACCAUCCGUCUUCAUUGCCUCUGUGUGUGCAAAGGCAACUCCGGCAUAAGGAAAAGCCACUAUUGGAGCCGCGGCUUUAUUUUAUAUCCUAUACAUCAGGAGGGAGGCAAAGCUUUAUUUUCGCCAAGAGACAGAUAUUUUAUUUCUCUCUUACGGUUUUAUGUGUGAGAGAUGUCAGGUUGCCACAAUGGAUGGCUAAUGCAUAGGCAAGAGGAAGCCGUGUUGGCAUGCUGUGUGUCAUGGGGUCUUGGGGGGGGUGAGUGGGCCUGGGAUUUAGGGCUGAUGGGACACUCUAGGGGAUUUCUGCUAAAACAUCUCUCUUCAUAAAUCCAGAAGCAUGGUCAGCUCAACAGGGAGAAGAAGGAGUUUUCGAGGGAAAAGAGUUGGGCUUAGUAAUGAACGAACACACAAAGGAACCGCUUACCUUCCAACAGGCUCGGGCAACCGGGGCAAGGCGGCCCUGUGGAAAUGCAGACAUUCGUGACCACACGCACGCGUACCACGCACAGGGAAGUCUUUUUCUACAGAAUACAAUAUCAUUUCACUUCUUUCCCCAUUUUAUAUGUUUCCGCCUUCCCCAUCUCCAUGGGGAAGAAAUCUUUUUUUUUUUUUUCAUCUCUUCAGAGCCUUGGGGUGGGGGGGGGAAGAGCUAUUAAUUUGCAAAUCAUCUGAUCUGUGAAAGGAUCAGAUGCCUGUUUUUCACCGUUCAGUGCAAUGUCUCAAGUGGACACACACACGCACACAGGAGCCCAUCGUGCUGGGAGUCCUGGGGGGCCGGGGCGAGGGACCCGAUUUGAAUCUAAGAAAAGCUUGCCAUCUCCUCCAGGGCCUGUGGCCAAAUUAAGCCUUAGGUCUCAAACUGCAUAACGGUCACAUUUUUUAACUUGGAGAGAAGGGGGAGGUGAGGGGACAAAGAGACAGAGAAGGCGGAGAGGGAAGUAUGUUAAUUAACACAUUGCGUUCAGGGCUUAGACCAGCGUCCUGCACUCCCAACCACCCUUGAAAUAAUUUCCUAUAAGGCCUUUAUGUGUCCUAAUGCCCUAUUUUUAAUUGUUUUAUUUCUGGAUUUAUAUAUCCACUGUGGAGGAAAAAGCUGACCAUGCUCUUCCCCUCUUUUCAGAGGAUCAGAGGUGACACAGGGGAUCUCUAGACAAUGAGUGUGGGGACUUGGCCCCCAGAGCACACUGUCCUUAGCUCUGGUCUUUGGGGGAAGACAUUUAACCUUUCUGGGCCUCAGUUUCCCCAUCUCUAAUGCAGGCCAUGGGGCUAAGUGGUUGCUAACAUUCCUGCCAGCUCCAGCCUCCUCUGACCGAAUGAGAUAAUGUGUGAAAACACUUUGGGAACGUUAAAGCCGGACGAAUGCCGAGGGGAUUAUUAUUACGAUUCUAAUCAAUCCUCUUUUCUCCACAUGGAUCUUGGCUGUUUAGCGCCAGCAAGCAGGCUAAAGAGGACCAAAAGCGAGAAAGCUUAGCAGAGAUGGAAAAGCUCUGUGGCGUGGACAUAGAAAACCCUCCAUCUCCAGAAACAUUCUGUCUCUGUGAGGCCCCCAGGCCUGGUGGGAAGGAGUGGGGAAGAAGAGGCCUCACUCGGCCUGACCCACGUCAGUCUCCACGGAGGCACGAAGUGCAUUUCUUUCAGAGCAUCGCUUGUCUCCAAGUGACUGACAUAGGAACCUGAUGUGAAAGCGAUUUGCAAUCGUUGUGUUGUUUUUUUUUUCCAGAAAGAAAGAAAAAAAGCAAGGUGUAGCUGAUUAGCAAGUUAAUUAUUUCAGUUCCCCAAGGGUUCCAGUGUGGUGGAGACAGCGCAUGGCGCCAUGCUCUGGAGAGCCAACUUCCUGCCUCGAGCGGUGUGAAGAUGAUACGAUACAAUUUUUGGUGCUUGCAUUCAGCUAUUCCCCAAGCAGGUUGGCUGAUACCCCUGUUGGUGGAGAGGGGCCUGGAGCUGCCUAGAAAGAUAGUUCUGAUGACUGCUUCAUUGCUGGUGGCAGAGGACUUGGGGCCGGGGGUGGAUCCAGUCAACGUUCAGAUUGUACUUGGACAUCUUUCGUCUUUACAUUUCAGUAGGAGAGAAGCUGGUGAAACUUAGAAUGCAGGAAGGCAGGUAUAGGGAGUUUCUUGUCUCAAUCAUGGUACUUCCAUGCCCAAAGGAAGCCCAGGGGUGGUAAAAACAGAUCCAAGCAGGGCUUUAAGGCUCCAUGUGGGAUUUCAGCCCUGGUUUCUGGGAGAUUAAGAAGUCUUUUCCAAGUUUUGAAGAGACCUACAAAUGCCAGGUAUUCAUAAUCUUUGGGAAGUAAACGCAACCUCUUUGCCUGCCUGGUGGCCGGCAAGGGAGCAUUUUGAGCUUGUGUGGCCCUCCUUUGUGGUUCUACCCUUUCCUUAUUCAUGUUCCAGUCUGGACUUGUAGAGGUGAAGACCCCAGCCUCCUCAGCUGCUGAGAUUUCUGGCUCUCUCCGGCCAUUCACAAUUUGGCCCACAUUGUAGGCACCGGCCAGCACACAUUUUGAAAGGAUUACUCUGGGCCAGGUUGUUCUCAUUUGGGCUCAAGAAAAGAUAUAGUUUCCCCUUAAAAAAGAGAUGCAAGAAGCCACUUCUAUGAAUCUUUUAAUGAAGGAUUUACUACUAAUUUGAUAAGUUCAUUGCUCUUUUUACUCAUUCUGAAUGAGUAACUUCAUCAGUCAACCUGAGGGUCUGCAGAACCUAUAAAAAUGCUUCCUUUGGUCUUCUUGCUUUAACACGUGCUGGGGCUCGGGCCUGCCUCUGACAGACUGGGGAGGAGCAGAAACAUUCCAGAGACCGGGUCUUAGAGUGUUAUCUCCUCCCCACCCCAAAUCCUCACCCUCCAUUUUAUCUCUCAAAUACAAAUGCAGGGACCUCCUAGGGAAGUGUGAAGGGAUAGGUUUUCAUCAGGUGGGGGAAGGAAGGGGAAGGAGUAGAACCUAAAGGAAGAUGAGGACAGUUGGAAUUUUUAACACCUCUCUGUUAAUACUUCUCAUGUGUUGUAUAUUAUAACUUACAAAAUAUGCAUUUGUCACGGUAAUCUACAGUGUAUCUGUGGCAUUUGCCAAAUGCUGCUUGGCCAAAACAGUGUUAAAUAAAAUUGUAAGAAAUGC
Artibeus jamaicensis (Jamaican fruit-eating bat) is the source of this 5008-nucleotide long non-coding RNA. RefSeq lists it as uncharacterized. Lineage: Eukaryota; Metazoa; Chordata; Mammalia; Chiroptera; Phyllostomidae. The record is from RefSeq and is a predicted model, not a curated record. The transcript has 2 exons.